RNAcentral lists this ribosomal RNA (327 nucleotides) under uncultured eukaryote. RNAcentral describes it as "partial 18S ribosomal RNA". It matches the Rfam family "Eukaryotic small subunit ribosomal RNA", at positions 1470 to 1796 of the family's 1831-position model. The record is from RNAcentral.
CCCUUAGAUGUUCGGGGCCGCACGCGCGCUACAAUGAGUCGAUCAACGUGCGUAUAUUUCCAAGGCCGAAAGGUCGAGGUAAUCCGUUGAACCCGACUCGUGCUAGGGAUAGGGACUUGUAAUUGUUUCCCUUGAACGAGGAAUUCCCGGUAAGCGCAAGUCAUCAGCUUGCGUUGAUUACGUCCCUGCCCUUUGUACACACCGCCCGUCGCUACUACCGAUUGAAGAGUUAGGUGAAUUGUUUUGAUCGAUAAGAUUUGACUAUGGUCAACUCUCGUUGUGAAAUUCUGUGAAUCUGACUGUCUAGAGGAAGGAAAAGUCGUAACA